UCCAUAUGUUGUAGUGUUGUGAAAAUGUG
RNAcentral lists this non-coding RNA (29 nucleotides) under Homo sapiens (human). The record is from RNAcentral. Lineage: Eukaryota; Metazoa; Chordata; Mammalia; Primates; Hominidae.